Molecule: RNA transcript, 2034 nt
Organism: Peromyscus californicus insignis
Lineage: Eukaryota; Metazoa; Chordata; Mammalia; Rodentia; Cricetidae
Gene name: histidine-rich glycoprotein-like
Exons: 4
Source: RefSeq, a predicted model, not a curated record
UUCCAAGGCAAAUGUUAAUUGCAACCUGCAAGCACAGAUGUUUCUGGGAUGGAAAGAAAGGCUGCAGGUGUGACACCCAGAUAGCAUGGCAUCCUCAGAGGCCUUGGAACCAGGAGCCAGGCCACUGGACCUGCAAGCUCAGUACUGGGUGGGCCUCAGCAUCCCUUCUAGCAGCUACAGAUGCCAGGGUCCUGGGCCCAGAGGAUCUGGACCUGCAGUAUUGGGGAUGAAGGAAAAAGCAGUGGGAGCCCCACGCUUGUGAGAUGCCAUGCCACGGUCUGCGCUCACAUCGACAGGAGCAGCAAAGCCAAGUUCCACAAAGAUGAAGAACAGCCUGUCUGGGCUUCUGCAAAUCGGGCUGGGUAUCCCCAGUGAGUCCUGGAGGGAAGAGGCAGGAAUGGCCUCUGGAGACCUACCACGGCUCUGAGCUGAUGGACACUGAUUCUAUACUCUUGUCGCAGUGACCAGAGGCUCCUCAUCACAGCUCAGCAUCACUAGUUUUUAAUGGCUCCUCAGGGUAUUCUCAUGUGCUGCCUGAGAACCUUCAGCUUGCAGUCUCUACAGCUGGAUCCGGCCCUCAAACAUUGUCCAUGCAGCUGGAUAGGGCCUUUGAACCCAUCUGAAGCCUGUGUCCCAAGGCAGACUACAAAGCUGCUCCCAACAUCCUGGUCUGCCUCUUCCCGGGGAUCCCAGGCUGUCUGUCCCAGGAGCAGUGGAGGACACUGCAUCCCUGUAAGUUGAGUUACCAGGAAGCCUGUGCAUGGUCACAGGGGGCUUGGUUACUGGAGUAUGCAAAGUUGCUACCAUGCUUGGGAAGGCAGAUCCUGUGUCUGUGCAGUGGGGAGUGUUUCUUCUGGUCCCCUUUGAGAGAGGAGCCCCUUUCUGGGGAAUCCCUGCCUGCAUUUCUCUAUCUUGGGGUGCAUGGUGUGGGCGUGAAGUCUCUGUGAUCUUUCUAGACUUUUUUCCUCACCUGCGAAAUGCAUCUAAUGGUUGCACCUGCCUCACAGGUGUGGCUGAAAGAGAUCAAACACAGAGCCCAGAGCAUGGCCUGAUGCCUGGACACCAAGUUCGUGGGCCUUGCUUCAGCUCCAGGAUUAGACUGUCUUAGGCUAUGUAAAGAAUAGGGCUGUCCAGGCUGCAUUGAGCUCGACAUACCUGGUGACCGUCCAAGGCCCAUCUGGGCAGGCUGGCCACCACUGUACCAGUUAUUUAGGUGUCAUUGUGAAAGGUCAACUCAAGGAAGAGGGAUUUAUUUGGGUUUGCGGUCUGAGGGGAUACAGUUCAUCGUGGUGGAGGGAGACAUGGCAGUGGGUGGUGUAUGACACGGUGGCGUAUGACCUUCCAUAUGAUAACUACUUAUUACGUGAUGCUGAGCAGGAAAGCAUAGAAACUGUGACAGAGACUGGCUAUAACCAGUAAGCCCUCCUCUUAUAGCUCCAUAGUCUGCAGCUAGGACCCAUGUGCCAAAGGUUCCACCAGCUAGGACCAAGAGUUCAAACACAGGAGCCUGUGGGGACAUUUCCCAUUCAGGUCAUACUCAUUGUAUUGCUGGACGCCAGCGUGGAAGGGGAGAGAGAAGAAAGGCGGGAAGCGGGGACUCCAGGGUGUGUGUGGAGUCUGCUUGGCUCACAGUCUGCUUUGAAGUGUCCCUCCAGGGUCGGAUGCCACAUAGGCUGGCCUGUGCACCCAUGGAGGGAAGCGAUGGUGUGCUCACUUGCUUCUCAGGUCUCCUCACAGCCAAGGCCUGACUGCCGGGAGCAAAAUCUGCCACGGAGCGGACCUUGCACUUCGAGGCUGCGGCUGGAAUUCAGAUACUGGGGAAAAUGUCGGAAACGAUGGCGCUUUGACUCUUUUCCUCUUCUGCUGUCAUAUCAAAGCUAUUUUGUUGGUAUAUAUUCAAGGAAUGUUUUUUAAUCUCCCAAACGAUAGCUUCUCUAAAUGUUCCUGUCGUUGUAAAUUACAUUGUGAUUCCCAAGCCAACUUUUUUCUUUUUCUUUUUUUUUAAAGAGUCAAUUAAAAAAUUCCCUCCAGGGA